This 2382-nucleotide long non-coding RNA is filed under the name Homo sapiens (human). RNAcentral's name for it is "non-protein coding lnc-IFT46-1:15". Lineage: Eukaryota; Metazoa; Chordata; Mammalia; Primates; Hominidae. The record is from RNAcentral.
AAUCGAUGCCCGACCACGGGCCCGAGGGGCCCUUACCCGGCAGGUGGGCGGCCGCGGCUCACCACCCCCCGGCUGGUCCCCAGCCCGCGCCGAGUACCCCCGAGUGCCCUUCUCUCCGGGCGCGGGCAGGACGCAGGAGCAGGCGGAGUCGGUGAGGCCCGACGGCUUUAUUGGUUCAGGGCCCAGUCCCGUCCCCUCGCCCGCGGACGCCCGGGUCCGCGGCGCUCAGCGGCUGUCACGGGGGCGGCGCAGCUGCCCCAUCAUGUCGGCCAGCAUGCGGUUGCACAGCGCGGCGUAGGGGUUGAGCAGCACCAGCUGGCGCCGCGCGAAGGGGCUGCCCAGCCGUGCCGCCCUCUCGAAGUCCCUGCGGGCGUCGUCGUCUCGGCCCUGCAGCCGCGCCAGGAGUCCGCGCUGCACAAAGCUCUGGCGGGCGGCGCGGCCCCGGCCGCCGCUCAGCUCCACCGCGCGUUCCAGAUCCUCCAGGGCGCCUGCGGGACCGACGAGACGGGCGGGGCGGGGGUCAGCGGAGGCCAGGGCGGCCUUGCCCGAGCCCCAGCCCACCUGCGGCCGCGCGGAUCACCGUGGUUCUUGCGGCUCCCGGGCGUGGCCAUUUACAACCCGCCUCGCACCUGCUAGAGGUACGGAUCGUUAUUCCCAUUACACAGAUGAAGACUGUGGAAGAGUUAAGCUCUACAGCCAAGCCACUUAGUGGCAGAGCUGGGACUGAAGUCCAGGUCUCGCCUUGUUCCUAUUAUUUUCCACCGCUAAUACACGAAAACAUGAACGUUGCAGGAUUCUGAAUGGCCACUAUGUUUAUGAGUCUGGCCCACUGCCCGGGCAAGUAGCAGCCAAUUUAUUCCACACCUGUUAUUAAGCAUCCACUAUGUGCCAGGUGACUGACUCUGAAUGUCAGGGUUCAAAAAAUAAUAUUAACCGCACAAUCAUUUCUUACAAGUACAAUCAAGACAGUUUCUCAUUGUUUUCCUUUUGAGGGCCGUUUUCUCUUUUCCAUUGCUUUCUUUAGAACACCUUCUCUCUCCCCUGUAUCCUGGACUGAUUGCCUUUCAUCAUUCUUUGGUUAUCUCCAUGUAUCUAAUUUCCUUGGUCCUGGAGCCAGAGCUGGCCUGCACCAUUUUUAUUGUUAUUAUUCUCAUAAAAUACUUGGGUUGGGCCUCAGAACUCUGAACUCAGAACUUCAGGCAGCCAGCCACCUUCUUAAAGUCCACCAGGCUGGCUUCUUUCGGGCUCUGCUUCAAUUCACUCAUGUUCUCUAGUCCCCCAAAGAGCCUGAGCCUCCGGAGAAGCGCUCAGAAUGCAGUACUCCUUGGUUUCCCUCGGAGGAGCUGGUCUGGAGGAAUCUCCAGUUGGAAUCACCACUGCAUCUCUCUGGGGUUUUGGUCUGCAGGCUGUCUCCAGUGAUCUGGGGCAGAUAAGCCUGGAUAAGGGGCUCCUGGGAGGUUCCCAUUGUUCCUGGAGUGGACUCAAAACUCCCUAGCCUGGCAUUGCUGGUUCUGGGAGCACCUGUGUCACCACUGCUCCUAACAGUCAAGUAGUACUAGGUUUCCGUGGUUUAUACCUUCACAUUAGCCUCAUCUUUGGUCCCCAGCAUGGUCCCAUUGUCUUCACUUAAUUAGAAUAACCUGAAUGCAGCAGGAGUUUUGGACCUCUACAGACUGUACCUUCUCCACCCACCAACUAACUCCCACUCAUCCUUCAAAACUCGCCCUUCAGGAACAGGUCCCACGCUGACCCCUCUCGAACUUGUUUUGCUGGUCUCAGAAUUAUGUGUCUGCCCUGCCUCCUGGACUGGGAGCUUUUCGAGGAGCAGUAUCAUGUGGGGAUUAAGAGCACACACUCGAGCCCUACCACCUGGUUGACAUCCCAGCUCUGCUGCUGCCUGACUGUAUGAUAGUGGGCAAGUUACUUAGCCUCUUCAUGCUUCAGUUUCUUCAUCUAUAAACUGGGGAUAACAAUAGUACAUACUUUUUAGGGUUGUUGUGAGGAUUGAUUUACUAGUUUGUAUGUAAAGUGAUUAAUGCCUGGUACAUAGUGACUGCUAUAUAAAUGUUGGUGAUCCAUAUACCUUUUAUCUCAGUGUCCUCAGCACCAGCCUACUGCCACAUAGUAGGCUCUCAUUAACUGUUCCUUAAUCAAUGGAAUGCAGUCUCUUCUGAAUUUCACAUUAACCCCAUGAUAUUAGCAGGUCCCCUGAUACUACUCCUACCUUAUAGGUAAGAAGACAGGCUCCACAGGGGUUUAGCAAGGCCACCCCAGCCGCACAGCCACUUCAGUUCUGGUCUGUGCCCUCCCGUGGGCCCUUUUGCAGAGGAUACAGGGCAUCUCCCCUUACCUGCCACGUCUCCCUGGAGUCGCCGGGCCUGG